This is a long non-coding RNA of Chelonia mydas (Green sea turtle), 192 nucleotides long. RefSeq lists it as uncharacterized. Lineage: Eukaryota; Metazoa; Chordata; Testudines; Cheloniidae. The record is from RefSeq and is a predicted model, not a curated record. The transcript has 3 exons.
AAAACCAUAUUCCAGUACAUGGCUGCCUGCCAGUAGCAUAUGCUUGUCUCAAAGAUUAAGCCAUGCAUGUCUAAGCACACACAGCCGGUACAGUGAAACUGUGAAUGGCUCAUUAACUCAGGUAUGGUUCCUUUGGUCGCUCCAACCCUUACUUGGAUAACUGUGGUAAUUCUAGAGUUAAUACAUGGCAAC